ACAGAGGGUGCGAGCGUUAAUCGGAAUUACUGGGCGUAAAGCGUGCGCAGGCGGCCUCUUAAGUCAGAUGUGAAAUCCCCGGGCUUAACCUGGGAACUGCGUUUGAAACUGGGAGGCUAGAGUGUGGAAGAGGGGGGUGGAAUUCCAGGUGUAGCGGUGAAAUGCGUAGAGAUCUGGAGGAACACCGAUGGCGAAGGCAGCCCCCUGGGCUGACACUGACGCUCAUGCACGAAAGCGUGGGGAGCAAACAGGA
Molecule: ribosomal RNA, 253 nt
Filed under: uncultured prokaryote
Description: partial 16S ribosomal RNA
Rfam family: Bacterial small subunit ribosomal RNA
Source: RNAcentral